This 260-nucleotide long non-coding RNA is filed under the name Lathyrus oleraceus (garden pea). Its description in RNAcentral is "Pisum sativum (pea) long non-coding RNA (PSAT_LNC022445)". The record is from RNAcentral. Lineage: Eukaryota; Viridiplantae; Streptophyta; Magnoliopsida; Fabales; Fabaceae.
UUUUUUGCAUUAUUUUUUUGAAAGUAAACAUGCUAUGAUGCAAAUGAUGCAAUUAUGACUGGUUGGCUGUGUAUCACGGAGCACAGGAUCAGAACUUCGGCAUCGGAACCGGAACCCACAAACCAAGGUCAUCUGAAACCCAUACUUCUGAACCAAGUUACCAUCAGGACCAAACAGAAGUCACCACCAGAAUACAGUCACCAACAAAUCAAGUCACCAACGGUACCUGUAAUGAUUCAAUCCCUCCCCACUCGCGGGUG